AACGAACGCUGGCGGCAUGCCUAACACAUGCAAGUCGAACGAGACCUUCGGGUCUAGUGGCGCACGGGUGCGUAACGCGUGGGAAUCUGCCCUUGGGUUCGGAAUAACAGCGAGAAAUUGCUGCUAAUACCGGAUGAUGACGUAAGUCCAAAGAUUUAUCGCCCAAGGAUGAGCCCGCGUAGGAUUAGCUAGUUGGUGAGGUAAAGGCCUACCAAGCCGACGAUCCAUAGCUGGUUUGAGAGGAUGAUCAGCCACACUGGGACUGAGACACGGCCCAGACUCCUACGGGAGGCAGCAGUGGGGAAUCUUAGACAAUGGGGGAAACCCUGAUCUAGCCAUGCCGCGUGAUCGAUGAAGGCCUUAGGGUUGUAAAGAUCUUUCAGCGGGGAAGAUAAUGACGGUACCCACAGAAGAAGCCCCGGCUAACUCCGUGCCAGCAGCCGCGGUAAU
This 450-nucleotide ribosomal RNA is filed under the name uncultured bacterium. Its description in RNAcentral is "bacterial SSU rRNA". It matches the Rfam family "Bacterial small subunit ribosomal RNA", at positions 29 to 524 of the family's 1533-position model. The record is from RNAcentral.